UACGGAGGGUGCAAGCGUUGUUCGGAAUUAUUGGGCGUAAAGCGCGCGCAGGCGGUCUGGAAAGUCUAUGGGUGAAAUGCCGGGGCUCAACCCCGCGCAUGCCCAGGAUACUGUCAGACUGGAGACACGUAGAGGCAAGCGGAAUUUCGGGUGUAGCGGUGGAAUGCGUAGAUAUCCGAAAGAACACCGGAGGCGAAGGCGGCUUGCUGGGCGUGAUCUGACGCUGAGGCGCGAAAGCGUGGGGAGCGAACAGG
Molecule: ribosomal RNA, 254 nt
Filed under: uncultured bacterium
Lineage: Bacteria
Description: partial 16S ribosomal RNA
Rfam family: Bacterial small subunit ribosomal RNA
Source: RNAcentral